UACAGAGGGUGCGAGCGUUGUUCGGAAUUAUUGGGCGUAAAGCGAGUGUAGGCGGGUUCGUGUGUCGGAUGUGAAAGCCCUCGGCUCAACCGAGGAAGUGCGUUCGAAACUGCGGUUCUUGAGUGUCGGAGAGGGUGGCGGAAUUCCCGGUGUAGAGGUGAAAUUCGUAGAUAUCGGGAGGAACACCAGUGGCGAAGGCGGCCACCUGGACGAACACUGACGCUGAGACUCGAAAGCGUGGGGAGCAAACAGA
RNAcentral lists this ribosomal RNA (253 nucleotides) under uncultured bacterium. Its description in RNAcentral is "partial 16S ribosomal RNA". It matches the Rfam family "Bacterial small subunit ribosomal RNA", at positions 524 to 776 of the family's 1533-position model. The record is from RNAcentral.